This 790-nucleotide ribosomal RNA is filed under the name uncultured Methanosaeta sp. RNAcentral describes it as "bacterial SSU rRNA". It matches the Rfam family "Archaeal small subunit ribosomal RNA", at positions 93 to 882 of the family's 1478-position model. Lineage: Archaea; Methanobacteriati; Methanobacteriota; Methanomicrobia; Methanotrichales; Methanotrichaceae. The record is from RNAcentral.
GUAACACGUGGACAACCUGCCCUGAGGACUGGAAUAAUCCCGGGAAACUGGGAGUAAUUCCAGAUAUGCCAGGGAACCUGGAAUGGUUUCUGGCAGAAAUGCUCCGGCGCCUCAGGAUGGGUCUGCGGCCUAUCAGGGUAGUAGUGGGUGUAACGUACCUACUAGCCUACGACGGGUACGGGUUGUGAGAGCAAGAGCCCGGAGAUGGAUUCUGAGACAUGAAUCCAGGCCCUACGGGGUGCAGCAGGCGCGAAAACUUUACAAUGCGGGCAACCGCGAUAAGGGGACCUCGAGUGCUGGGUUACAAACCUGGCUGUUGGGCUGCCUAAAAAGCAGUCUAUAGCAAGGGCCGGGCAAGACCGGUGCCAGCCGCCGCGGUAACACCGGCGGCUCGAGUGGUAACCGCUGUUAUUGGGUCUAAAGGGUCUGUAGCCUGCCGGCUAAGUCUCUUGGGAAAUCUGGCAUCUCAAGUGUCAGGCUGCCAGGGGAUACUGGUCAGCUUGGGACCGGGAGAGGUGAGAGGUACCUCAGGGGUAGGGGUGAAAUCUUGUAAUCCUUGAGGGACCACCAGUGGCGAAGGCGUCUCACCAGAACGGAUCCGACGGCAAGGGACGAAAGCUAGGGGCACGAACCGGAUUAGAUACCCGGGUAGUCCUAGCCGUAAACGAUACUCGCUAGGUGUCGGCCACGGUGCGACCGUGGUCGGUGCCGUAGGGAAGCCGUGAAGCGAGCCACCUGGGAAGUACGGCCGCAAGGCUGAAACUUAAAGGAAUUGGCGGGGGAGCACAAU